ACGCGUAUCCAACCUGCCCACCACUUGGGGAUAACCUUGCGAAAGUAAGACUAAUACCCAAUGACGUCUCUAGAAGACAUCUGAAAGGGAUUAAAGAUUUAUCGGUGAUGGAUGGGGAUGCGUCUGAUUAGCUUGUUGGCGGGGUAACGGCCCACCAAGGCGACGAUCAGUAGGGGUUCUGAGAGGAAGGUCCCCCACAUUGGAACUGAGACACGGUCCAAACUCCUACGGGAGGCAGCAGUGAGGAAUAUUGGUCAAUGGACGAGAGUCUGAACCAGCCAAGUAGCGUGCAGGAAGACGGCCCUAUGGGUUGUAAACUGCUUUUAUAAGGGAAUAAAGUGAGUCUCGUGAGACUUUUUGCAUGUACCUUAUGAAUAAGGACCGGCUAAUUCCGUGCCAGCAGCCGCGGUAAUACGGAAGGUCCGGGCGUUAUCCGGAUUUAUUGGGUUUAAAGGGAGCGUAGGCCGGAGAUUAAGCGUGUUGUGAAAUGUAGACGCUCAACGUCUGCACUGCAGCGCGAACUGGUUUCCUUGAGUACGCACAAAGUGGGCGGAAUUCGUGGUGUAGCGGUGAAAUGCUUAGAUAUCACGAAGAACUCCGAUUGCGAAGGCAGCUCACUGGAGCGCAACUGACGCUGA
RNAcentral lists this ribosomal RNA (638 nucleotides) under uncultured bacterium. RNAcentral's name for it is "bacterial SSU rRNA". It matches the Rfam family "Bacterial small subunit ribosomal RNA", at positions 113 to 749 of the family's 1533-position model. The record is from RNAcentral.